UUAUUUGUUGUGUGUAGGUCCACGUCCCCUGCUAGCGCCAAAGCAGCGGACACCUACUUGUUGAUCCUCGGAGUCCUCCUGGUUCGAUAAACCUUAUAGUCCCCGUGUAAGGGAAAUCUGCUGCUGACUACAUCUCCACCUUCCACUUGGGGUAACCAACAAGGGGUGAGAAGUAUAUCCAUCAACUCGUCAUCAACUGCUGCUAUAGAAGAUAAGGAGAAGAAGAAGAGGAGGAGAUGAAGAAGAGGAGGAGGAGAAGAGGAACGAUAGGAAGAAGAGGAGGAGAGGAAGAAAAGAAGAGGAAGAGGAGGAGGAGGAAGGAGAGGGAAUAAUGUUUUUUAAUUUUGUUUUAGAUUAAUUUUGUUUUUUUGUUAGAAUUAUUAGGGUUACUAAUAUUUAUAAUUAGGUUUUAGGUGAAUUAUACUUUAGAAUUAUUAGAGGAAGUGGAGGAGAGGAAAAAGAGGAGGAAAAGAAGUAGAAGAAGGAGAAUAAGAAGAGGAGGAUAGGGGAAGAAAAGGAAAAAUAUAAGAAGAUGAGAAGUAGAAGAAAAAGAGGAGAAUAAAAGAAGAGGAGGAGGAGAAGAAAAGAAGAGGAGGAAGAGAAUAAGAGGAGGAGAAGAAGAAGAAGAGGAGGAGAGGAAGAAGAGGAGAAGAAGAAGAGGAGGGGAUUUCUAUUAUUAUUAUUUUUUUGUCAUUUAAUUGCUAUUGUUAUUAUGUAAUCCAAUGUGCUCUAUUUGUGCUAAGUUUGCGGCAAGUUUUGCCGGAAUGUCCGAGUGGCCUAUGUUUUGCGAGAAUGUUGAUUCAUUUCCGUUCCGGCAAAUUUCAGGCGAUCCAUAUGUCCAAUUUUUAGUAGAGGUCAUGCUGAAAAUUUCCGUGAAUUUCGGCACGACUAGUGCUAGAAACUAGGGCAUAUGGAGUGCCCGGGAAUUGUCGGAAAGGGGAAUGAAUCAACAUUCUGACCAAAUAUAGGUCCCUUUUUAUUAUUCAUGUUAUUCAGCCUAGAAUUAAAC
This 1009-nucleotide long non-coding RNA is filed under the name Hordeum vulgare. Its description in RNAcentral is "long non-coding RNA (HVUL_LNC013008)". Lineage: Eukaryota; Viridiplantae; Streptophyta; Magnoliopsida; Poales; Poaceae. The record is from RNAcentral.